This 752-nucleotide ribosomal RNA is filed under the name uncultured prokaryote. RNAcentral describes it as "bacterial SSU rRNA". It matches the Rfam family "Archaeal small subunit ribosomal RNA", at positions 26 to 771 of the family's 1478-position model. The record is from RNAcentral.
ACUGCUAUCGGGGUCCGACUAAGCCAUGCGAGUCAAGGGGCUCCCCUUUUGGGGAGCACCGGCGAACGGCUCAGUAACACGUGGCUAACCUACCCUCGGGUGGGGGAUAACCUCGGGAAACUGAGGCUAAUCCCCCAUAGGGGAGGAGGUCUGGAAUGAUCCCUCCCCGAAAGCCCGUAAGGGCGCCCGAGGAUGGGGCUGCGGCGGAUUAGGUAGUUGGUGGGGUAACGGCCCACCAAGCCUACGAUCCGUACGGGCCCUGAGAGGGGGAGCCCGGAGAUGGACACUGAGACACGGGUCCAGGCCCUACGGGGCGCAGCAGGCGCGAAACCUCCGCAAUGCGCGAAAGCGCGACGGGGGGACCCCGAGUGCCCUCCCUCUGGGAGGGCUUUUCCGGAGUGUAAACAGCUCCGGGAAUAAGGGCUGGGCAAGUCCGGUGCCAGCAGCCGCGGUAAUACCGGCGGCCCAAGUGGUGGCCACUGUUAUUGGGCCUAAAGCGUCCGUAGCCGGCCCGGUAAGUCCCUGCUUAAAUCCCGCGGCUUAACCGCGGGGCUGGCAGGGAUACUGCCGGGCUAGGGACCGGGAGAGGCCGGGGGUACCCCAGGGGUAGCGGUGAAAUGCGUUGAUCCCUGGGGGACCACCUGUGGCGAAGGCGCCCGGCUGGAACGGGUCCGACGGUGAGGGACGAAGGCCGGGGGAGCAAACCGGAUUAGAUACCCGGGUAGUCCCGGCUGUAAACUCUGCGGACUAGG